RNAcentral lists this long non-coding RNA (4192 nucleotides) under Sus scrofa (pig). RNAcentral describes it as "lncRNA (ENSSSCG00030068420.1)". The record is from RNAcentral. Lineage: Eukaryota; Metazoa; Chordata; Mammalia; Artiodactyla; Suidae.
CAUCACACUUUAUUAUUUGAAUUAAAUAUUUAAAAAUAUAUUCUUCCAAAUCAGAGUAAUAACAAACCUAUUACUCUGUAUACUAAAAACAGAAAAAAGUAAACAACCAUAUAUGUAUUUGGGUUCUUCAGAGAAACAUAACCAAGAGGUUGUGCACACACAAGUCCCAUGAUCUACAGGGUGAAGGGUCAAACUGGAGCCAAGGAAAGCCAAUAGUACAGUUGUAGUCUGAGUCCAAAAGCCUGGGAAUCAGGAGAGUCCAUGGUGUAUCUCUAGUCUAAAGGCUGUCAGAUUGGAGACCCAGGAAGAGCCAAUGCCCAAGUUCAAAAUGAGAAAAAAAGCAGUUUCAAAACAAAGGCAGUCAAGUAGAAAGAAUCCUUUCUUCCUCAGGAGAUAAUCAGUCUUUUUUUCUAUUCAAGCUUUUAGCUAAUUUGCUGAAGCCCACACAAAUGAACCCCAUUAGGGAAAGUGAGCUUAAUUUAGUCUACCAUUUUAAAUGUUAAUCCUCACAGAAACCUCCAGAAUAAGAUUUGAUCAAGUAUCUGGAUGCCCCAUGGCCCAGUCAAGUUCACACAUAAAAUUAACCAUUUCACUAUGCUUAUAUAAUACUGUGGGUGUCACUGUUGAAUAGGACUGACCUUCUAACUCUGGGCCGCCUCCUCCCAUCAGUUCUUUCUCUAUAUUGACAACACCACUACCACCAAUUCUUCAGGGCUUUGUUUGGCCAGCAUCCAUACAAUGCACAAAUCCUUAGUUAUCUGUAUGUUUGUGGUCAAAUUCUCUAGCCUAGUAGCUUCAUUUGAAGGGAGAUAACUAUAUUCCCUGAACUUUGCUCCAUAAUCUCUAAAGGAAGAUUCCCAUCUCACCUUUUGUUACUAUGGAGAUGUGAUGUGGAAAAUUCACACCUUUUGUUACUAUGGAGAUAUGAUAUGGAAAAUUCAUAACAAAAAAUAAUGAAUUUCUAUUCUACCCUUACUAGCACAUUGUUCAUGAGAAUGUUACUUGCCCAAGUUACUAAUAUAUCUAACCUUCAAUUUUCCCCUGUACAAAAAAUGGAAGAAGAUAAUCUAAUUUACAAAGUUAGCAUAUAGACUGAUGUACAUAAAGUACCUAGCACCGUGCCUAGUAUGUAGUAAAAUUGAUUGUGUAAAUAUAAAUAGUAGACUCUAGGGGGUCUCUUUAACCCUGUGUUUCUAUUGACAUAAUUUUCCUACUAACACAGAUCUGAAAAUAGUAAUAGUGACCCCACAAUAAUAUUUCAUCAUAAUUUCUGCAACCCCUCCCUUAGAGUUAUUUUUUUGUUUGUUUGUUUUAAUGAACCAAAUAAGGAGAAAAGAUUCUUUGUUGUUUUCCCUCUCUUUUAGGUGUAUGUGAACUCUCACAUAAUCUCAUUCAAUAUUACCAAUUGUUGUCAAACUCAGAAGAUAAUGGGUGAAAUUUCAAGUUAUAAUAAUAUAUCAGAUUAUAGGGAAUAAGGACAGGCUUUGGACAUAUUUCAAAUAUCUUGGCUUCUUGAGAAAGCAGAUACUAAAUCUGUCACUAGACUCAGAAUCAAGUAGUCAGCCUUUGGCCCUCUUCCAGUAUAUAAUGGAACAAAUUCCAGACCUCUCCAAGAGUAAUUCUUUUUGCAGUCCAGAGACAUAAGGCUGCUAUAGUUAGAUGUUAAUAAAAGAUCUAAAUGCAGUGGAGCAAAAGACAGGAGGAGAAAGUCUUGGUGAGUAAGCCAAAUGGGCCAGCUAUCUGUCGUCUGGCAGCUGUCAGGAAGAAAGAGCAAAGAAUAGAAUUAUAAAGCAUGGCUACAUUUGCAGAUUAAAGAAAAUAACUCAUUUUCAGAUAAUUUUAAGAAAAUCAGAGUUAUAUACAGCUAUAAAGUUAAAGCUAUAGAGAUUAAGUAUAUAUUAUGUAAAAACGAAAAAAUAGAAUUCAAGAAUUUGGUGAAAAUUCUCUCAAUCCAAAAUUGUUCUUCUGUAAUGAAAUUAUAACUUCCAUCAUUUAUUAUUUCCAUUAAAAUGGAAGUCUGGUCUGAUUAGCUCAACAUAGAAUUUAAAAUUUAAAUCUCUAAAUUGAAUCCUGAUAUUACAUGGUUAUUCAGGCCAGGUGUAUGUUAAAGUAGACAGUAGCAUGUAGAUAAUAAUAAACAUCAUUUCUUGAACUAAUUCCUCCAGGGUAAUUUUAUUGGUGACCACAUGGUUGAGGUAAUGGUUGGUUCUGGUCAAUUAAAUUAAGUAAAUGCAAUUCUUUUCUAAUUUGAACAAUUUCAUUCAGAAUUAAAGUUAAAAAUAUUUUUCUAUAUUAAGCUACUCCAUCAGGAAAUUAUGAAAAAUUAUCGACUGAAGUUGAAAAAUAAAUGUCAAUGAGAAAUCCCCAACUAUAUGUGUAGUAAUUUAGGAUAUGUUUAUUCAUUCCAUUCUCAUAAUCAGUUAUGUAGAAAUUCAUAUCUACCAAAGCACAGUUUUAAAGUAAAGAUCUGGGAAGUUUCUUGGCAUCAAACUAAUGGUUACAGGAUAAUAUCAAUGUCACUUCCACAAUGCUUAAAUAUUCGUAGGUGACUAAAAUUGAUAUGUACCAAUUCCAACAAGGUAGAUCAUUGUAGAAGUGACUCACACCUAGGACUCUAUACCAAAUAUUAAACCUAAAUCUCAACAAAAAGGAGUAAAACAAGAAUUUGACUAUGCAAAGUAUGAAGAAUAUGAAGAAAUUUGAUGUCAAAAAGGCAAACGAAAUUUCAUAAAUGGAAAACACAAACAUUUGUGCAAAAACACAAAUUGAAUUUAUAUUAAAUCUAGAUUUAAUAUACAUUAGUAAACAUUAAACAUAUAAACAAUAAAGAUGGGUAGCAAAGAAUAUUUUCUAUAGGCAUGACAUUAUAGAAAAUGACAGAGUAGGACAUUCAAAUAAAUGGCCCCUCCCCUGAAAGAAAGAUAUACUCACAAAGAUUCACUAAUUCAAUUUUUCUUUGGAAAUGUGGGAACUAAUCCAAAACUUUCAUCGACCAGAGGACUACUUACUAAAGAAAAGCGAUUGCUAUGGUAUAUCCACUCACAUACUAUCUCCUAUUCUCCAGUAGCCAGUGUCCCCAGUGUAGGUGGCUGGUUCAGAGGGCUAAUACUGAUCUUGUUCUUAAAAUACUGUGGUUGUGCUUUUUCAAUAUGAAUUUUAGUGUAUAUUUGACUUACAAAUUUGUUUUAGUUUCAGGUGAACAACAAAGUAAAUCAGAUUCUUUUCCCAUAGAGGUUGUUACACAGUAUUGAAUACAUUAUCCUGUGCUAUACGGUAGGUCCUUGGUACCUAUUUUAUCUAUAACAGUGUGUAUAUGUGAAUCCCAACCCCCUAAUUUAUCCUCCCCCACUCAUUUCCACUACAGUAACCAUAAAUUUGGCUUGAAAAUCUUCAAGUCUCUUUCUAUUUUGUAAGUUCUUUUGUGUCACUUUUAUUAGAUCCCAUAUAUUUCAUAUGUAUUUCUCUGACAAUUCAAUUCACUUAGUAUAAUUUCUAGAUCCACCUAUCCUGCUGCAAAUGGCAUUAUUUCAUUCUUUUUAUAGCUGAGUAAUAUUCCAUUGUGUAUAUGUACCACACCUUCUUCAUCCAAUCCUCUGUUGAUGGAAAUUUAGGUUGCUUCCCUGUCUUGGCUAUUGUAAAUAGCGCUGCAGUGAACAUUGGGGUACAUGGAUCUUUUCAAAUUACGGUUUGCUCCAAACAUAUUCCUAGGAAUGGGACCUUUGGACCAUAUGGUAGCUCUGUUUUUAAAAUUUUUUUUUUUUAAUCUUUUUGCCUUUUCUUGACCCACUCCCACGGAAUAUGGAGGUUCCCAGGCUAAGGGUCUAAUCGGAGCUGUAGCCACUGGCCUAUGCCAGAGCCACAGCAACAGCAGGAUCUGAGCCGCAUCUGCGACCCCCACCACAGCUCACGGCAAUGCCAGAUCCUUAACCCACUGAGCAAGGCCAGGGAUCCAACUUGCAAUCUCAUGGUUCCUAGUCGGAUUCGUUAACUACUGCGCCAUGAUGGGAACUCUGGUUUUUAAAUUUUUUAAGGAACCUCGAUACUAUUCUCCAUAGUGGUUGCACUAGUUUACAUUUCCAUCAAUAGUGUAGGAGAGUUCCCUUUUCUCCACACCCUCUCCAGCAUUUGAUUGUACUUUUUUUUUUUUUAAUUUUUGGCACUUUUUUGUUUUAUGUUUGCAUUUCCCUCAAGU